UUGAUCCUGGCUCAGAAUCAACGCUGGCGGCGUGCCUAACACAUGCAAGUCGAACGAGAAAGUGGAGCAAUCCAUGAGUAAAGUGGCGACCGGGUGAGUUACACGUGACUAACCUACCUUCGAGUGGGGGAUAACAUCGGGAAACCGAUUCUAAUACCGCAUAACAUCGCAAGAUCAAAGCAGCAAUGCGCUGGAAGAGUGGGUCGCGGCUGAUUAGCUAGUUGGCGGGGUAACGGCCCACCAAGGCGAUGAUCGGUAGCCGGCCUGAGAGGGCGCACGGCCACACUGGAACUGAAACAUGGUCCAGACUCCUACGGGAGGCAGCAGUGGGGAAUUUUGCGCAAUGGGGUAAACCCUGACGCAGCAACGCCGCGUGGAGGAUGAAGCCCCUUGGGGUGUUAACUCCUUUCGACCAAGACGAUAAUGACGGUACUGGUGGAAGAAGCACCUGCUAACUCUGUGCCAGCAGCCGCGGUAAUU
RNAcentral lists this ribosomal RNA (480 nucleotides) under uncultured Acidobacteriota bacterium. RNAcentral describes it as "bacterial SSU rRNA". It matches the Rfam family "Bacterial small subunit ribosomal RNA", at positions 13 to 525 of the family's 1533-position model. Lineage: Bacteria; Pseudomonadati; Acidobacteriota. The record is from RNAcentral.